GAAGUAGCAUACUAGUGGUAACGGGUGAUACAUGUAGGUAUCUGCCCUAUGGCCUGGAAUAACACGAGGAAACUUGUGCUAAUACCGGAUAAGUCUUCACGGAGAAAGCUUUAUGCACCAUUGGAUGAGCCUGCACUUGAUUAGUUUGUUGGUGGGGUAAUGGCCUACCAAGACUGUGAUCAAUAGCUGAUUUGAGAGGAUGAUCAGCCACAUUGGGACUGAGACACGGCCCAAACUCCUACGGGAGGCAGCAGUGGGGAAUCUUGCACAAUGGAGGAAACUCUGAUGCAGCGAUGCCGCGUGAGUGAAGAAGGCCUUUGGGUUGUCAAGCUCUUUCGUCGGGGAAGAAAAUGACUGUACCCGAAUAAGAAGGUCCGGCUAACUUCGUGCCAGCAG
Molecule: ribosomal RNA, 396 nt
Filed under: uncultured bacterium
Lineage: Bacteria
Description: bacterial SSU rRNA
Rfam family: Bacterial small subunit ribosomal RNA
Source: RNAcentral